RNAcentral lists this ribosomal RNA (253 nucleotides) under uncultured bacterium. Its description in RNAcentral is "partial 16S ribosomal RNA". It matches the Rfam family "Bacterial small subunit ribosomal RNA", at positions 524 to 776 of the family's 1533-position model. The record is from RNAcentral.
UACAGAGGUCUCGAGCGUUGUUCGGAUUCAUUGGGCGUAAAGGGUGCGUAGGUGGCGGGUGAAGUCAGAUGUGAAAUCCCGGGGCUCAACCCCGGAACUGCAUUUGAUACUGCCUUGCUCGAGUACUGGAGAGGAGACUGGAAUUUACGGUGUAGCAGUGAAAUGCGUAGAUAUCGUAAGGAAGACCAGUGGCGAAGGCGAGUCACUGGACAGUUACUGACGCUGAGGCACGAAGGCCAGGGGAGCAAACGGG